This 999-nucleotide ribosomal RNA is filed under the name uncultured bacterium. RNAcentral describes it as "bacterial SSU rRNA". It matches the Rfam family "Bacterial small subunit ribosomal RNA", at positions 355 to 1375 of the family's 1533-position model. The record is from RNAcentral.
UGGGGAAUAUUGCACAAUGGAGGAAACUCUGAUGCAGCGAUGCCGCGUGAGGGAAGAAGGUUUUAGGAUUGUAAACCUCUGUCUUCGGGGACGAAAAAAAGACGGUACCUGAGGAGGAAGCUCCGGCUAACUACGUGCCAGCAGCCGCGGUAAUACGUAGGGAGCGAGCGUUGUCCGGAAUUACUGGGUGUAAAGGGAGCGUAGGCGGGAUCGCAAGUCAGAUGUGAAAACUAUGGGCUUAACCCAUAAACUGCAUUUGAAACUGUGGUUCUUGAGUGAAGUAGAGGUAAGCGGAAUUCCUAGUGUAGCGGUGAAAUGCGUAGAUAUUAGGAGGAACAUCAGUGGCGAAGGCGGCUUACUGGGCUUUAACUGACGCUGAGGCUCGAAAGCGUGGGGAGCAAACAGGAUUAGAUACCCUGGUAGUCCACGCCGUAAACGAUGAUUACUAGGUGUGGGGGGACUGACCCCUUCCGUGCCGCAGCAAACGCAAUAAGUAAUCCACCUGGGGAGUACGACCGCAAGGUUGAAACUCAAAGGAAUUGACGGGGGCCCGCACAAGCAGUGGAGUAUGUGGAUUAAUUCGAAGCAACGCGAAGAACCUUACCAGGUCUUGACAUCGUAUGCAUAGCUCAGAGAUGAGUGAAAUCUCUUCGGAGACAUAUAGACAGGUGGUGCAUGGUUGUCGUCAGCUCGUGUCGUGAGAUGUUGGGUUAAGUCCCGCAACGAGCGCAACCCUUACUGUUAGUUGCUACGCAAGAGCACUCUAGCAGGACUGCCGUUGACAAAACGGAGGAAGGUGGGGAUGACGUCAAAUCAUCAUGCCCCUUAUGACCUGGGCUACACACGUACUACAAUGGCUGUCAACAGAGGGAUGCAAAGCCGCGAGGUGGAGCGAACCCCUAAAAACAGUCUUAGUUCGGAUUGUAGGCUGCAACCCGCCUACAUGAAGUCGGAAUUGCUAGUAAUCGCAGAUCAGCAUGCUGCGGUGAAUACGUUCCC